CUGCGACAAAGCGAAGCUCCAUCGGGGGUGUCUCGAUGAGACUCGGGGCAGCUGUCACCUCCAUGCUUGCCCACGUGCCCCUGGAGGGCGAAGGCAUUAUCCUCGGUCGACUUCGUCACUUCCGAGCCUUCGCCGAGUAGUGGGAGCUGAGGAUUGAACCCCAGCCCAUGCCACCUCAGCCCAUGUUCCCAGUUUUGGGUUGUAAAAUGGCAGGAAAUCCAUCCUCCGGCACAAGCGCAGCAGUCAGGUUGAGGGGCUCUGGGAAACUCUUCGCCUCUCUGGGCCUGCUGUUCUUCAUCUGUGAGAUAAGGAAAGCCUCUUCUGCCUCUGUUUAUGUUUUGUUUCAGGAUUCUAAUGCCACACUAGAGACACUCUUCUGUCAUAUGUUACUUUGGGGAAGAUUUUUAUUUUCCACCCACUCUUUUUAAAAAGACCAGUCAGUUUUCGUAAAAAUGUACAACUAAAUUUACCAUCUUAA
Non-coding RNA from Peromyscus maniculatus bairdii (prairie deer mouse), 478 nucleotides. NCBI's taxonomy places the organism in Eukaryota, Metazoa, Chordata, Mammalia, Rodentia, Cricetidae. The record is from RefSeq and is a predicted model, not a curated record.